AACGUAGGAGCCUAGCGUUAUCCGAAUUUACUGGGCGUAAAGCGCGUGCAGGCGGCUGGGUAAGUGGAUUGUGAAAUCUCCCGGCUCAACUGGGAGGGGACGGUCCCGACUGCCCGGCUGGAGGCAGGGAGAGGGAGGUGGAAUUCCCGGUGUAGUGGUGAAAUGCGUAGAGAUCGGGAGGAACACCAGUGGCGAAAGCGGCCUCCUGGCCCUGACCUGACGCUGAGACGCGAAAGCUAGGGGAGCGAACGGGAUUAGAAACCCCCGUAGUCC
Molecule: ribosomal RNA, 273 nt
Filed under: uncultured bacterium
Lineage: Bacteria
Description: partial 16S ribosomal RNA
Rfam family: Bacterial small subunit ribosomal RNA
Source: RNAcentral